This is a non-coding RNA of Triticum aestivum (bread wheat), 122 nucleotides long. The record is from Rfam. NCBI's taxonomy places the organism in Eukaryota, Viridiplantae, Streptophyta, Magnoliopsida, Poales, Poaceae.
AGUGUACUCCCUUCGUCCGAAAUACUUGUUUAAAAAUGAAUGUAUUUAGAUGUAUUUAGUUCUAGAUAUAUCCAUUUGUAUCCAUUUCCACGACAAGUAUUUUCGGACGGAUGGAGUAUUUC